UACGUAGGGUGCGAGCGUUAAUCGGAAUUACUGGGCGUAAAGCGUGCGCAGGCGGUUGUGCAAGACAGGUGUGAAAUCCCCGGGCUUAACCUGGGAACUGCACUUGUGACUGCACGGCUGGAGUGCGGCAGAGGGGGAUGGAAUUCCGCGUGUAGCAGUGAAAUGCGUAGAUAUGCGGAGGAACACCGAUGGCGAAGGCAAUCCCCUGGGCCUGCACUGACGCUCAUGCACGAAAGCGUGGGGAGCAAACAGGAUUAGAUACCCUUGUAGU
This 271-nucleotide ribosomal RNA is filed under the name uncultured bacterium. RNAcentral's name for it is "partial 16S ribosomal RNA". It matches the Rfam family "Bacterial small subunit ribosomal RNA", at positions 524 to 794 of the family's 1533-position model. The record is from RNAcentral.